UCCGUAGGUGAACCUGCGGAGGGAUCAUUACCGAGUUAUACAACUCCCAAACCCACUGUGAACCUUACCUCAGUUGCCUCGGCGGGAACGCCCCGGCCGCCUGCCCCCGCGCCGGCGCCGGACCCAGGCGCCCGCCGCAGGGACCCCAAACUCUCUUGCAUUACGCCCAGCGGGCGGAAUUUCUUCUCUGAGUUGCACAAGCAAAAACAAAUGAAUCAAAACUUUCAACAACGGAUCUCUUGGUUCUGGCAUCGAUGAAGAACGCAGCGAAAUGCGAUAAGUAAUGUGAAUUGCAGAAUUCAGUGAAUCAUCGAAUCUUUGAACGCACAUUGCGCCCGCCAGCAUUCUGGCGGGCAUGCCUGUUCGAGCGUCAUUUCAACCCUCGAGCCCCCCCCGGGGGCCUCGGUGUUGGGGGACGGCACACCAGCCGCCCCCGAAAUGCAGUGGCGACCCCGCCGCAGCCUCCCCUGCGUAGUAGCACACACCUCGCACCGGAGCGCGGAGGCGGUCACGCCGUAAAACGCCCAACUUUCUUAGAGUUGACCUCGGAUCAGGUAGGAAUACCCGCUGAACUUAAGCAUAUCAAUAAGCGGAGGA
This 597-nucleotide ribosomal RNA is filed under the name Purpureocillium lilacinum. RNAcentral's name for it is "eukaryotic LSU rRNA". The stretch from base 220 to 373 matches the Rfam family "5.8S ribosomal RNA". The record is from RNAcentral. Lineage: Eukaryota; Fungi; Ascomycota; Sordariomycetes; Hypocreales; Ophiocordycipitaceae.